RNAcentral lists this ribosomal RNA (497 nucleotides) under uncultured bacterium. Its description in RNAcentral is "partial 16S ribosomal RNA". It matches the Rfam family "Bacterial small subunit ribosomal RNA", at positions 28 to 507 of the family's 1533-position model. The record is from RNAcentral.
GAUGAACGCUGGCGGCGUGCCUAAUACAUGCCAGUCGAGCGAACAGACGAGGAGCUUGCUCCUCUGACGUUAGCGGCGGACGGGUGAGUAACACGUGGAUAACCUACCUAUAAGACUGGGAUAACUUCGGGAAACCGGAGCUAAUACCGGAUAAUAUAUUGAACCGCAUGGUUCAAUAGUGAAAGAAGGUUUUGCUGUCACUUAUAGAUGGAUCCGCGCCGCAUUAGCUAGUUGGUAAGGUAACGGCUUACCAAGGCGACGAUGCGUAGCCGACCUGAGAGGGUGAUCGGCCACACUGGAACUGAGACACGGUCCAGACUCCUACGGGAGGCAGCAGUAGGGAAUCUUCCGCAAUGGGCGAAAGCCUGACGGAGCAACGUCGCGUGAGUGAUGAAGGUCUUCGGAUCGUAAAACUCUGUUAUUCGGGAAGAACAAAUGUGUAAGUACCUAUGCACGUCUUGACGGUACCUAAUCAGAAAGCCACGGCUAACUACGUG